RNAcentral lists this ribosomal RNA (253 nucleotides) under uncultured bacterium. RNAcentral's name for it is "partial 16S ribosomal RNA". It matches the Rfam family "Bacterial small subunit ribosomal RNA", at positions 524 to 776 of the family's 1533-position model. The record is from RNAcentral.
UACGGAGGGGGCUAGCGUUGUUCGGAAUUACUGGGCGUAAAGCGCACGUAGGCGGACCGGACAGUCAGAGGUGAAAUCCCAGGGCUCAACCUUGGAACUGCCUUUGAAACUAUCGGUCUGGAGUUCGAGAGAGGUGAGUGGAAUUCCGAGUGUAGAGGUGAAAUUCGUAGAUAUUCGGAAGAACACCAGUGGCGAAGGCGGCUCACUGGACCGGCAUUGACGCUGAGGUGCGAAAGCGUGGGGAGCAAACAGG